Molecule: ribosomal RNA, 111 nt
Filed under: human gut metagenome
Also listed under: 2 other names
Source: RNAcentral
GGUGUCUAUGGCGAUGAGGUCCCACCUGUUCUCAUACCGAACACAGAAGUUAAGCUCAUCCGCGCAGAUGGUACUUGGCUGGACACGGCCCGGGAGAGUAUGUCGACGCCG